GGCUUCAUAGCUCAGUGGUUUCUAGCGUUUAUAUCGAAAUCGCAAAGGUCAUGGGUUUGAAUCCCAUUGGAUCCU
Desmophyllum pertusum is the source of this 75-nucleotide non-coding RNA. NCBI's taxonomy places the organism in Eukaryota, Metazoa, Cnidaria, Anthozoa, Scleractinia, Caryophylliidae. The record is from the annotation of a GenBank genome assembly.